AUGGGCAUGGGGUGGAAAGUUCUGAGCGAUGUGAAGCCGUACCUGGCGAUGGUGCUGCUGCAGGUGGGGUUCGCCGGGAUGUACAUCGUCGCCGUGGCGUCCCUCAAGCGCGGGAUGAGCCACUUCGUGCUCGUGGUCUACCGGAACCUCGUCGCCACCGCCGUCAUGGCGCCCUUCGCCCUCUACUUCGAGAGGGGACUGAGGCCAAAGAUGACAAUCACCAUCUUCAUCAAGAUCAUGGGGCUCGCAUUCCUCGAGCCUGUGCUUGACCAGAACCUCUACUACAUGGGCGCGAAGCUGACCUCGGCGGGGUUCGGGGCGGCGCUGAUCAACAUCCUCCCGGCCGUCACCUUCAUGCUGGCGCUCAUCAUGCGCAUGGAGAAGGUGCGGCUGCGGAGCCUGCACAGCCAGGCCAAGAUCGCCGGCACGGUCCUCACGGUGGCCGGCGCCGUGCUCAUGAUCCUCUACCACGGCCCCACUGUGCAAUUUCCCUGGACCAAGGGCCAGCAUCACGCGGGCGGUGCGGCCGCCGGCGCCGAUGCAGCGGCGUGGCUAAAGGGGACCAUCAUGGUCAUCGCCGCCUGCGUGGCCUGGUCGUGCUUCUUCGUCCUCCAGUCCAGCACGCUCCGGGACUACCCGUCGGAGCUGUCCCUCACGGUGCUCAUCUGUGGUGUGGGCUCGGUGAUGAGCACCGGCGUCGCCCUCGUCGCCGAGCGUGCCAACACUCAGGCAUGGGUCAUCGGCUUCGACGCCCGCUUCUUCACCGCCGUCUACGCCGGCAUAGUGUGCUCCGGCGUGGCGUACUAUGUGCAGGGCAUCGUGUCUAAGCAAAGGGGCCCGGUGUUCGUCACGGCCUUCAACCCGCUCUGCAUGAUCAUAACCGCCGUCAUGGGCUCCAUCAUUCUCAAGGAGGAGAUCACUCUCGGAAGUGUGAUUGGUGCAGUGAUCAUCGUGGUAGGGCUCUACUUUCUCAUAUGGGGCAAGAGCAAGGACAAGGUCAACCAAGUCUCCGACGACUUCGUAGCUGGUAACAGCAAGGGCGCCGGUGAGCUGCCCUUAACCUCGGUGACUAACGGCAACGGCAAGCAGCACGAGCUCGGGAACGGCCAGUUCAACGGUGGCUAUGUACUGAACGUGGAGACGCCGGCGACCAAUGGCCACUAA
RNAcentral lists this ribosomal RNA (1164 nucleotides) under Triticum aestivum (bread wheat). RNAcentral describes it as "partial small subunit ribosomal RNA". Lineage: Eukaryota; Viridiplantae; Streptophyta; Magnoliopsida; Poales; Poaceae. The record is from RNAcentral.